CCUACGGGUGGCAGCAGUGAGGAAUAUUGGUCAAUGGGCGCGAGCCUGAACCAGCCAAGUAGCGUGAAGGAUGACUGCCCUACGGGUUGUAAACUUCUUUUAUAAAGGAAUAAAGUGAGGCACGUGUGCCUUGUUGGAGGUACGUUAUGAAUAAGGAUCGGCUAACUCCGUGCCAGCAGCCGCGGUAAUACGGAGGAUCCGAGCGUUAUCCGGAUUUAUUGGGUUUAAAGGGAGCGUAGAUGGGUUGUUAAGUCAGUUGUGAAAGUUUGCGGCUCAACCGUAAAAUUGCAAUUGAUACUGGCAGUCUUGAGUACAGUUGCGGUAGGCUGAAUUCGUGGUGUAGCGGUUACCUGCUUAGAUCUCACG
This 366-nucleotide ribosomal RNA is filed under the name uncultured bacterium. Its description in RNAcentral is "partial 16S ribosomal RNA". It matches the Rfam family "Bacterial small subunit ribosomal RNA", at positions 338 to 701 of the family's 1533-position model. The record is from RNAcentral.